CCUCACUCUUCCGGUCUUCCCCCCGGAUCCCCUUUCUUGUCAAACUCGCCGGGGACGCCGCCGCUUGCCGUUGCAACGCCAGCCAUUGGCACCGGCGGGAUCCGCCAGCCGUCGGUCCGGAUCGACGCUCACGCCUCCGGCUCCGACAUGCACGCCCGUUGAACGCCGUCGUGAACCACCUCGCUUCUCUGGUACGUCUUGAACCAAGGUCGCCUUUCUCGGUUCCGUCGGCCGCUGUUGCGACGCCGCCGCGGUCAUCCUCCUCCCCGAGCAGCUCUAGGGGCCGUGACGGGCUCCGCGUCGUCGCGUCUCCUCUGGACCACGAACUUGAAGCCGUGGGUCCCUCCUACUUCUUCCUCGACCGCUGACCGCCAUUGACGCCGUCCGAAACUUGCUGCCGUCCGUCCUCUCGCCUCCCUGCUCCGUCCGACCCUGCCAGGAACAGCAAGCUUAAACAGGUGCAUCUUUGACCAAGUAUAGGACGGGCAAAUGUCGCGGAAGGAAUACUGAUGGUUUUUGAAGACUGACUAUGCUCCCUCGAGUACUGCGCAGCAACAAACUCAGAUGAAGUUAACGAAGGAGAAAAGGAAAGAGAACACUCAUCCAUACAUGAAAAACUGGAUAUGGAGCUGCAAGAUCUGAAAAAAGGAUUUCAGCAAAAGGAGGUUCAACUUGAGGUGUAGGUGUUGCCAUUCUCUCGUAGCGGAGCGAAGAGCACAACCCUGACUGCACAACCCCUUCAAGGAUCACUGGUGAAUUUGUUCAAGUUUAUUUAUCUUCUGGGUCAUGUUCAUUUUUUAUCACAGUAGGAUUCCGAGCCUGAGGGUAUCGUGAGUGUGAGCAUUUAUAAUGGAGUUGCACAAUUAUCUAUCUUCAGAAGUGGAAAUAUUAGUUAUGUGGUCAUGAAAAUAACUAAUGAUACCCAUGUUUUAGAAUAAAUCAUGACGACAAAUAUAUUACCUUGAAAUUUGAGUAUGAGUCGCCUCAAAUACCUAUCUCAACACACUCAUGACCAAGUGUGGCGUACACAUUGCGAAUUACAUGAUGUUUUGUUCAAUACUCUAUGUCAGCAAAUUAUAUGAUGUAUUGAUCACUAUCCCGAUGUCAAAGUUUGUUCUCUAUGUCUCAGCUUGUAUUGGGCACCAAAUACAGAUUGGGGGAAUAAGUUGUUUGCAUUGGGUGUACUUGCUGGAAAGACAUCUGAACUUGCCUAUUCAUCCUUGAUUAUGAAACAUAUUAAUUCCCAGAAUUUAAUGGGCGUAUUCUUCAUUGAAAUUUAUGAUUUUCAGGUAGCUGGUACAUAGCUUAAAAUCCUGCAUCGCUUAAGUAUCUUUGUAAUGUAGGUAAUUUGCUCAGACAUCAUGAAUGCAUGAAUGCAUUUUGUUUUUGUAGGAACCAGCUGAGGAUGGUAAACCUAGGGAACUGUGAAGAUGGUGGCAGGAGGAUGUACCUGCGGCGUCCGGAGAUGGGUGCAGCAACAGCCGGCCUGCGGAGGUGGCUGGUUCUGGCGGCCCUGUCGAGCAACACCAUGAGACGGGAGCAGAGGUGCUGGUUCCGGCGGCAGCAGAGGCUGCAGCAUGAGACGGGAGCAGAGGUUGCUGGUUCCGGCGGCAGCGGAGGCUGCAGCUCGCACAUCUGCUGUGAGAGCGAUGUGGCCGGACUGGUUCCGGCGGAUGUGGCCGGACGGCGACUAUACGUCCAGCGAGAGGAGGAACUGGCGUUUCUGGCGACGUGCGUUCAAGGCUCGAUGGAGCUCUCACACUUGUUUUUCUGUUUGGUUUGGCUCGAACGUUUUUUUCUUUGGUUUGGGCAUGUACGUCUUUUUUGGUCAAUGCAUGUAGUGGACGUGGUUCGUGGAUUGAGUCGCAACUGUUUCUCUUCGGCUGGUGCGUGAUCGUGGGCUGAGUUGGCGAUG
This is a long non-coding RNA of Triticum aestivum (bread wheat), 1915 nucleotides long. RefSeq lists it as uncharacterized. Lineage: Eukaryota; Viridiplantae; Streptophyta; Magnoliopsida; Poales; Poaceae. The record is from RefSeq and is a predicted model, not a curated record. The transcript has 5 exons.